This is a long non-coding RNA of Humulus lupulus (European hop), 1047 nucleotides long. RefSeq lists it as uncharacterized. The transcript is spliced from 2 exons. The record is from RefSeq and is a predicted model, not a curated record. NCBI's taxonomy places the organism in Eukaryota, Viridiplantae, Streptophyta, Magnoliopsida, Rosales, Cannabaceae.
UUCCUUACAACUUCCACUCCAAGCUUUGGCCGACCACUCCACUUGUUCUCUCAAUUUUUUUUCACAUCAAUCCUUAUCUAAACUCUCAUCAUCUCAUCUCCUUCCUUCUAUAUUUCUAGAUCUAAGUUACUUGAUCUGGAUUUGAAGCUGAGGAAAAUCUAUUCAAGUUAGAUCAUCAAAAGGUAAAAAGCUAAACUUUCCUAUGACAAAGUUUGAGUUUUGGUUGGUUUCAUUCCUUAGAUAAGCUUAUAAGUUUGUAUAAUCUGACUUGUGGAAUUGUGGGGAGUGUUAAUAUGUAGACAAAAGGCUGAGCAAAGGAGUUAAACGGCUAGAGGUCAUCUAAAGUUCAAUCCAAGGUCAUCAAGAGGGUUUAUGUUUUGCUGAUUCUGCUCAAGGUAUUGAGAAAUCUCCAGGAUGCUUAGGUGUUCUUUAAUUGUUGGAUUAGGGCUCGGAUUUAUCCAGAACCAUAAGUUCGUAUGUUAUAUGUUGUGUGGACAAUGACUUGGUUAUUGGUUCCUGUUGUUUUAUAUCAUUUUGUAUGUCAGAUUGAUUUAAUAAGUGUUAUCGCAUACCUAGUUUUUCAUGUUGUAGGUAAGGGCAAAGAAAAGCUGGAAUAGUGAGCUCCGGAGUCUGCUCAUGAAGAUGUACAUGUGUUCCGACCUUUGUGGAUUAUGCAUCUUUUGAAAUGUCUAUUUUAAUUAUGUUCAAACCAUUUUGGGUUUAUCACGAUGCUUAUAAAAUUUUUUGAAAAUAUUUUUAGUGUGUGCACACUUACGUUAAUAGUUUUUUUAUAUGGAUUUUUUAGACAUUUUAAAUGUUAUAAAUGACUUUAAUUCCACAAAAUCAAUGUUAGUAUUUUCAAGUCAUUACAUCAUGUGUUGAGUACAUCAUGUGAGUCACAAAUAAUACUAUUGUUUCUCAAUGUGUCCACACACGUCUUGAGGUAUAGGGAACGACUCAGAAGAUCGUAGUUUGAGUUAUUGAUGGAAAAACUUGGAUUGGAUGUUCCUUUAUAAAUACUAAAAGAUAGCAAAGACACUUGAUAGA